This 253-nucleotide ribosomal RNA is filed under the name uncultured bacterium. Its description in RNAcentral is "partial 16S ribosomal RNA". It matches the Rfam family "Bacterial small subunit ribosomal RNA", at positions 524 to 776 of the family's 1533-position model. The record is from RNAcentral.
UACAGAGGUCUCAAGCGUUGUUCGGAUUCAUUGGGCGUAAAGGGUGCGUAGGUGGCGCCGUAAGUGGGGUGUGAAAUCCCGGGGCUUAACCCCGGGACUGCAUUCCAUACUGCGGUGCUUGAGGACUGGAGAGGAGACUGGAAUUUACGGUGUAGCAGUGAAAUGCGUAGAGAUCGUAAGGAAGACCAGUGGCGAAGGCGGGUCUCUGGACAGUUCCUGACACUGAGGCACGAAGGCCAGGGGAGCAAACGGG